RNAcentral lists this unclassified non-coding RNA (249 nucleotides) under Hevea brasiliensis (rubber tree). The record is from RNAcentral. Lineage: Eukaryota; Viridiplantae; Streptophyta; Magnoliopsida; Malpighiales; Euphorbiaceae.
UCUUCCUUUAACCUUAAUAGUGUGGAAUUAGCAUCAUCAACCUUGUACUGGAGUUCCUUUAACUUCUCCUCUAUUUCAGAUUCCUCAGCCUGAGUAUUUUUAACAUGUUGUUCCUGAAUAUCCUGGACUUCUUGUUGAAGCGAGCUUGCACGCUUCAGUAUGCUCUGAAUGCGCUUGGUUUCACGGCCUCUAGCUCAAGUUUCUGUUUUGUUGCCGAGGAAAUAGAAUGUCGCAAAUCAUCCUGCUUUC